UACUGAGUUGUCGACAUGAGCUGUUGCUGGUCCUCAAAACAAGGGGGCACGUGCACGCUCUGUUCACACAUCCACUCACACCUGUGCACCCCCCGUAGUUCUAUGGCCUGGAAGACUUGCCGUCUUCUUUCUGUAGUUCUGCGUCUUUACACAUACACCGUAGUGAAGUCUUAUGGAAUGCACACCGCGUUUAACGCAAUACAAUACAACUUUCAGCAACGGAUCUCUUGGCUCUCGCAUCGAUGAAGAACGCAGCGAAAUGCGAUAAGUAAUGUGAAUUGCAGAAUUCAGUGAAUCAUCGAAUCUUUGAACGCACCUUGCGCCUCUUGGCUAUUCCGAGGGGCAUGCCUGUUUGAGUAUCAUGAACACCUCAACUCUAACGGUUCACCCGUGACGAGCUUGGACUUCUGGAGGUUUUGCUGGCCUGCGGCCAGCUCCUCUCAAAUGGAUCAGCUUACCAGUGUUUGGUGGCGCCAUGGGUGUGAUAACUAUCUACGCCUGCGGUCGUCUGCCAGGAGACCUUCAGUGAUGGGGGUUUGCUGGGGCUUACAAAUGUGUCUCCUCAGCGAAGACAGCUUUUUGAACGUUCGAUCUCAAAUCAGGUAGGACUACCCGCUGAACUUAA
Molecule: ribosomal RNA, 625 nt
Filed under: uncultured Thelephora
Lineage: Eukaryota; Fungi; Basidiomycota; Agaricomycetes; Thelephorales; Thelephoraceae
Description: eukaryotic LSU rRNA
Rfam family: 5.8S ribosomal RNA (bases 208-362)
Source: RNAcentral